This 741-nucleotide ribosomal RNA is filed under the name uncultured Providencia sp. RNAcentral describes it as "bacterial SSU rRNA". It matches the Rfam family "Bacterial small subunit ribosomal RNA", at positions 760 to 1502 of the family's 1533-position model. The record is from RNAcentral. Lineage: Bacteria; Pseudomonadati; Pseudomonadota; Gammaproteobacteria; Enterobacterales; Morganellaceae.
CGUGGGAGCAAACAGGAUUAGAUACCCUGGUAGUCACGCUGUAAACGAUGUCGAUUUGGAGGUUGUUCCCUUGAGGAGUGGCUUCCGGAGCUAACGCGUUAAAUCGACCGCCUGGGGAGUACGGCCGCAAGGUUAAAACUCAAAUGAAUUGACGGGGGCCCGCACAAGCGGUGGAGCAUGUGGUUUAAUUCGAUGCAACGCGAAGAACCUUACCUACUCUUGACAUCCAGAGAAUUUAGCAGAGAUGCUUUAGUGCCUUCGGGAACUCUGAGACAGGUGCUGCAUGGCUGUCGUCAGCUCGUGUUGUGAAAUGUUGGGUUAAGUCCCGCAACGAGCGCAACCCUUAUCCUUUGUUGCCAGCACAUUAUGGUGGGAACUCAAAGGAGACUGCCGGUGAUAAACCGGAGGAAGGUGGGGAUGACGUCAAGUCAUCAUGGCCCUUACGAGUAGGGCUACACACGUGCUACAAUGGCGUAUACAAAGAGAAGCGACCUCGCGAGAGCAAGCGGAACUCAUAAAGUACGUCGUAGUCCGGAUUGGAGUCUGCAACUCGACUCCAUGAAGUCGGAAUCGCUAGUAAUCGUAGAUCAGAAUGCUACGGUGAAUACGUUCCCGGGCCUUGUACACACCGCCCGUCACACCAUGGGAGUGGGUUGCAAAAGAAGUAGGUAGCUUAACCUUCGGGAGGGCGCUUACCACUUUGUGAUUCAUGACUGGGGUGAAGUCGUAACAAGGUAACCA